This 247-nucleotide ribosomal RNA is filed under the name Salmonella enterica subsp. enterica serovar Derby. RNAcentral's name for it is "partial 23S ribosomal RNA". It matches the Rfam family "Bacterial large subunit ribosomal RNA", at positions 1 to 239 of the family's 2925-position model. Lineage: Bacteria; Pseudomonadati; Pseudomonadota; Gammaproteobacteria; Enterobacterales; Enterobacteriaceae. The record is from RNAcentral.
GGGUUGUGAGGUUAAGCGACUAAGCGUACACGGUGGAUGCCCUGGCAGUCAGAGGCGAUGAAGGGCGUGCUAAUCUGCGAUAAGCGCCGGUAAGGUGAUAUGAACCGUUAUAACCGGCGAUACCCGAAUGGGGAAACCCAGUGUGACUCGUCACACUAUCAUUAACUGAAUCCAUAGGUUAAUGAGGCGAACCGGGGGAACUGAAACAUCUAAGUACCCCGAGGAAAAGAAAUCAACCGAGAUUCCC